RNAcentral lists this transfer RNA (77 nucleotides) under Gloeothece verrucosa PCC 7822. RNAcentral's name for it is "tRNA-Ile (TAT) (tRNA-Ile-TAT-2-1)". It matches the Rfam family "tRNA". Rfam says of the family: Transfer RNA (tRNA) molecules are approximately 80 nucleotides in length. Their secondary structure includes four short double-helical elements and three loops (D, anti-codon, and T loops). Further hydrogen bonds mediate the characteristic L-shaped molecular structure. tRNAs have two regions of fundamental functional importance: the anti-codon, which is responsible for specific mRNA codon recognition, and the 3' end, to which the tRNAs corresponding amino acid is attached (by aminoacyl-tRNA synthetases). tRNAs cope with the degeneracy of the genetic code in two manners: having more than one tRNA (with a specific anti-codon) for a particular amino acid; and 'wobble' base-pairing, i.e. permitting non-standard base-pairing at the 3rd anti-codon position. The record is from RNAcentral. Lineage: Bacteria; Bacillati; Cyanobacteriota; Cyanophyceae; Chroococcales; Aphanothecaceae.
CGGAAGUUAGCUCAUUUGGUUAGAGCAAUCGGUGUAUCGCCGAUUGGUAGUAGGUUCGAUUCCUAUACUUUCAACCA